UACAGAGGUGGCAAGCGUUGUUCGGAAUUACUGGGCGUAAAGGGCGCGUAGGCGGUUCGUUAAGUCCUGUGUGAAAUCCCCCGGCUCAACUGGGGAACUGCACAGGAAACUAGCGGGCUUGAGUUCGGGAGAGGGAAGCGGAAUUCCGGGUGUAGCGGUGAAAUGCGCAGAUAUCGGGAAGAACACCCGUGGCGAAGGCGGCUCUCUGGGACGGUACUGACGCUGAGACGCGAAAGCGUGGGGAGCGAACAGG
RNAcentral lists this ribosomal RNA (253 nucleotides) under uncultured bacterium. Its description in RNAcentral is "partial 16S ribosomal RNA". It matches the Rfam family "Bacterial small subunit ribosomal RNA", at positions 524 to 776 of the family's 1533-position model. The record is from RNAcentral.